AUGGUAAACAAUAAUCCAUGGUAACUUUUUGCAGGAUCAUUUUCUUCUUCUUUGUGUUGUGUGGCUCAGGGUGUUUGAGUCUCAACAUUAUCUACAAUGGCCUAUAAAAUUGAACCAAUCACCCUCUCAAAAUAAAAUAAUCGGUGUUGCGAGGAAAUGCAACUUAGUUGUCUACGAGCAAUCACUCCUCCACCCUGCGUUGCGUGUUUCUCUCUCAGCUCAACUCUCUCUCUCUCUCUCUCUCUUGGACUCUCUCCCCGAUCGAACCCGCACACACCCACGGACACCCAAAGUGGCACCCCGGCAACACCACCACCACCCUCGCCCUCGCGAGGAUCUCCCCUCCCUCUUCCCCGUCUCAGUGAAGCUCGGUGAAGCCCAGAAACCCAGGAGAUCUCCGGCGAAACCCCGUGACUCUCCAGCGAAAAUCCGGCCACUUCCCGGCCACCACUCGUCGUGAAACAGUUGUGACUAUUUCUGAGUCUCAACGGGUCAAGCUUCCAAAUUUCCAAGGAACAAGUCUUUGACCGUUGAUCUUCCCUUCGUUGAGUCUGUAUUUGUUGAUCACAAGCAGAGUUAGAUUUGAACUUCCAUUUCUGCACCUCAAUAUUGCUCAAAAGCGGUUCGUUCUUUCGUUGAUUGCUCGGAGUAAUCCUCGCUCUUAACAUGGCACUCGGAGAGGUUUUUCUUGUGGCGUUUCUACAGUUGCUGCUCGACAGGUUGACCCCUCGCGAGAUUCUUGAGUACGUGGGCAAUUUCCGGGGCGUCGGGCAGAAGCUGGAGAAGUGGAGGACCACGUUGUCUACAAUUGGAGCGGUGAUGAGCGACGCUGAGGAAAGGCAACUGACUGAAGGUGGUGUGAAACUGUGGCUGGAUGAUCUCAGAGACCUGGCUUAUGAUAUCGAAGACAUGUUGGACAAAUUUGCCACUCAAAUGUUGAAGCGCAUGAUAGAGGGACGUGAUCAAGCCAGCCCAAGCAGGAAGGUA
This is a long non-coding RNA of Pyrus x bretschneideri (Chinese white pear), 987 nucleotides long. RefSeq lists it as uncharacterized. The record is from RefSeq and is a predicted model, not a curated record. The transcript has 3 exons. Lineage: Eukaryota; Viridiplantae; Streptophyta; Magnoliopsida; Rosales; Rosaceae.